Benincasa hispida (wax gourd) is the source of this 508-nucleotide long non-coding RNA. RefSeq lists it as uncharacterized. The record is from RefSeq and is a predicted model, not a curated record. NCBI's taxonomy places the organism in Eukaryota, Viridiplantae, Streptophyta, Magnoliopsida, Cucurbitales, Cucurbitaceae.
AUAAGAUGAGAUGGUAUCUUUUCCCCACUCCCCAUCUCUCCUUCUUGUAUUCAUCCGGCGAACCAGAACCUCGCCGCGGUUGCCGUCUCUGUUGGUUCCAGAUCUGAAAACGCAGUGGGACCAGACCCUUCUUCCGGCGAUUCAAAACAAAAAUCAGAGAACUCAUCUUCCUCUUUGUUUCAGAUUAACAGCGAGCGGUAUUUGAAUGACGGUGGAGGUUCCAAAAUGUUGGAGAUGAGUCCACGAAGAAGAAGCUCAAAUUCCAGGAACCUAAUGGCCAGGAUUUCGAAAUCCAGUUUUGAUACUUAAUGGCCUUGACAUUUUCAUUCAUUCCAAGUGGUCUGGAAUGCUUUUAAGAGUAAAGACUAUCGUCAUAAACUAACACAGGGUCAUAAACACAGUGCAGAAUUCAUUCUCUUGAUGCUCUUAUUCUUGAACAGACCCUUUUUUCAACUGCACUGCAAUUACUUGAUAUUUGAUUGGAUGAUUCUUUUGUUUCUCCCAGUCA